Molecule: long non-coding RNA, 881 nt
Filed under: Gossypium raimondii (Peruvian cotton)
Lineage: Eukaryota; Viridiplantae; Streptophyta; Magnoliopsida; Malvales; Malvaceae
Description: long non-coding RNA (GRAI_LNC009720)
Source: RNAcentral
AUCAGCAAAACAUUUCCUAAUUUCUAAUCGCAAACCCAAAACCUAAACCCUCAAAUCUUUCCCUGAAAGGACGCUUCUACUUUCGUUGCAUCAGAAAACCUAUUCUAUAGGAGCUAGUUGCCUUCACCUGAUUCAUCAAAUUAAAUCCUUUUGUCCCAACUCCUCAGAUUUUCCUGACUUCCUUGGAGUUUUCAAAAACAUAAACUAACUCACUCUGGACUCAGUUUGAGAAAAAGCCUUUUCUCACCACCGUUGCUCCUUUGUGAUGAUGGACUCAACAUCUAGCGGAACUUCUUCCAUCCAAUAGAUCGAGGUUUCGCACCGUCGUCCCCAUGUUGCUAGUUCGUGUACUGUUUCAUUUGCUGUUUGUGGUAAAUAUUGAGAGGUAAAGUUUUUAAACCUGGUUGCUCUACUAUUUAUCUCACUAAUGGUAUUACCUAUGACUGAUCUAUCAUUCCUUAGUGUUCUUAGUUUCUUUAGGACCUUGAGUGCAUCUCCUUCUAAGCAUACAUCGCUGAAACCCAUUUCAUAUGCAAAAAUAACCGCUUGUAAACAUGCGUGUGCUUCUGCCAUUGUUGGAUCUCAAAUAUUUUCUUUUGGGUAAACACAUGACCCAUCACAAACCCUCAAUUGUUUCUUAUGCAUCAAAAUUUACUUUAACUUGUUCACCCUCUGGAGGUUCCCACUAGGCUCCUUGAUGGGCAUUAAAAUCACCAAAUACAAAUUUCUACGACAAAAUAAUAGUAAAUUAAAAUAUAGAGCAAUAGGGUCAAAUCCACAAAAACUGGUUAUCCAAUUUCACCUUUUCUCAUGACCAGAAUUACUGUCGUGGUAAUAGUUGUGCCCAUGACCUGUGCGUUGCAAUGCUGGAAACAAAAAAG